This 73-nucleotide transfer RNA is filed under the name Ictidomys tridecemlineatus (thirteen-lined ground squirrel). Its description in RNAcentral is "Spermophilus tridecemlineatus (thirteen-lined ground squirrel) tRNA". It matches the Rfam family "tRNA". From Rfam's summary of the family: Transfer RNA (tRNA) molecules are approximately 80 nucleotides in length. Their secondary structure includes four short double-helical elements and three loops (D, anti-codon, and T loops). Further hydrogen bonds mediate the characteristic L-shaped molecular structure. tRNAs have two regions of fundamental functional importance: the anti-codon, which is responsible for specific mRNA codon recognition, and the 3' end, to which the tRNAs corresponding amino acid is attached (by aminoacyl-tRNA synthetases). tRNAs cope with the degeneracy of the genetic code in two manners: having more than one tRNA (with a specific anti-codon) for a particular amino acid; and 'wobble' base-pairing, i.e. permitting non-standard base-pairing at the 3rd anti-codon position. The record is from Rfam by way of RNAcentral. Lineage: Eukaryota; Metazoa; Chordata; Mammalia; Rodentia; Sciuridae.
GGAGAUGUAGCUCAGUAGUAGAGCAUUUUCCUAGCAUGUGCAUGGGUUGUGGGUUCAAUCCCCACCCCCACCC